AACGAACGCUGGCGGCAGGCCUAACACAUGCAAGUCGAACGCCUCAGCAAUGGGGAGUGGCAGACGGGUGAGUAACACGUGGGAACGUACCCUUCGGUUCGGAAUAACUCAGGGAAACUUGAGCUAAUACCGGAUACGUCCGAGAGGAGAAAGAUUUAUCGCCGAAGGAUCGGCCCGCGUCUGAUUAGCUUGUUGGUGAGGUAACGGCUCACCAAGGCGACGAUCAGUAGCUGGUCUGAGAGGAUGAUCAGCCACAUUGGGACUGAGACACGGCCCAAACUCCUACGGGAGGCAGCAGUGGGGAAUAUUGGACAAUGGGCGAAAGCCUGAUCCAGCCAUGCCGCGUGAGUGAUGAAGGCCUUAGGGUUGUAAAGCUCUUUUACCUGGGAAGAUAAUGACGGUACCAGGAGAAUAAGCCCCGGCUAACUUCGUGCCAGCCGCCGCAGUAA
RNAcentral lists this ribosomal RNA (449 nucleotides) under uncultured bacterium. RNAcentral's name for it is "partial 16S ribosomal RNA". It matches the Rfam family "Bacterial small subunit ribosomal RNA", at positions 29 to 523 of the family's 1533-position model. The record is from RNAcentral.